UUUGCACCAUGACGGUGAAGAUGAUUCAUCUAUUUGCCCUCCCAGAGACGGCUACAUAAUGCACACUUACACUCGCGGAGAGCGUCAUUAUGAGUGGUCACAAUGCAGCAAAACUAUGAUUAAGAAAUUUCUGCGGUCGCCUAAAUCAGCCUGCUUGCACUCUGUGAAAAGCCACAACGUUUCUUUGCUGCCGAACGACCGUCUCAAUCUGACAUCGGUUAUCAAUGGAACAGAUUACUGCAACAAGUAUUUUCCGAACUUCUAUAACGUCACUCAUCAAAAGACAAUAGAAAACUGCAUCUUUCGCUGCGAAUUAAGAGAUUCCUCAAAGAAAGCGAAAGCGCCAUGGACGGCGGAUAUAUUUGCACCGGAUGGGACGACUUGUGGUCGGAGAAACUCCAGAAAGAAAUGUAAGCACGGCAUGUGCAUGAGAGCAAGUUAAUAAAUAAAAAAAAAUGUUUCCUGG
Dermacentor albipictus is the source of this 466-nucleotide non-coding RNA. The record is from RefSeq and is a predicted model, not a curated record. NCBI's taxonomy places the organism in Eukaryota, Metazoa, Arthropoda, Arachnida, Ixodida, Ixodidae.